RNAcentral lists this ribosomal RNA (199 nucleotides) under Lobaria macaronesica. RNAcentral's name for it is "5.8S ribosomal RNA". The stretch from base 43 to 196 matches the Rfam family "5.8S ribosomal RNA". Rfam says of the family: 5.8S ribosomal RNA (5.8S rRNA) is a component of the large subunit of the eukaryotic ribosome. It is transcribed by RNA polymerase I as part of the 45S precursor that also contains 18S and 28S rRNA. Functionally, it is thought that 5.8S rRNA may be involved in ribosome translocation. The record is from RNAcentral. Lineage: Eukaryota; Fungi; Ascomycota; Lecanoromycetes; Peltigerales; Lobariaceae.
AAACUCUGAUAUCAUGUGGUCCGAGUCAUAUGCAAUAACUAAAACUUUCAACAACGGAUCUCUUGGUUCUGGCAUCGAUGAAGAACGCAGCGAAAUGCGAUAAGUAAUGUGAAUUGCAGAAUUCAGUGAAUCAUCGAAUCUUUGAACGCACAUUGCGCCCCUUGGUAUUCCGAGGGGCAUACCUGUUCGAGCGUCAUUA